GGCCAAGUUUUUAAGGGCGCACGGUGGAUGCCUUGGCACCAGGAACCGAUGAAGGACGUGGGAGGCCACGAUAGUCCCCGGGGAGUCGUCAACCAGGCUUUGAUCCGGGGGUUUCCGAAUGGGGAAACCCGGCAGUCGUCAUGGGCUGUCACCCACAUCUGAACACAUAGGGUGUGUGGAGGGAACGCGGGGAAGUGAAACAUCUCAGUACCCGCAGGAAGAGAAAACAACCGUGAUUCCGGGAGUAGUGGCGAGCGAAACCGGAUGAGGCCAAACCGUAUACGUGUGAGACCCGGCAGGGGUUGCGUAUGCGGGGUUGUGGGAUCUCUCUUUCACAGUCUGCCGGCUGUGAGGCGAGUCAGAAACCGUUGAUGUAGGCGAAGGACAUGCGAAAGGUCCGGCGUAGAGGGUAAGACCCCCGUAGUCGAAACAUCAACGGCUCGUUUGAGAGACACCCAAGUAGCACGGGGCCCGAGAAAUCCCGUGUGAAUCUGGCGGGACCACCCGUUAAGCCUAAAUAUUCCCUGGUGACCGAUAGCGGAUAGUACCGUGAGGGAAUGGUGAAAAGUACCGCGGGAGCGGAGUGAAAUAGUACCUGAAACCGUGUGCCUACAAGCCGUGGGAGCGUCGCUCAUCAAGCUU
Ribosomal RNA from Streptomyces turgidiscabies Car8, 642 nucleotides. It matches the Rfam family "Bacterial large subunit ribosomal RNA", at positions 1 to 596 of the family's 2925-position model. The record is from Rfam. NCBI's taxonomy places the organism in Bacteria, Bacillati, Actinomycetota, Actinomycetes, Kitasatosporales, Streptomycetaceae.